This 107-nucleotide small nuclear RNA is filed under the name Sciurus vulgaris (Eurasian red squirrel). Lineage: Eukaryota; Metazoa; Chordata; Mammalia; Rodentia; Sciuridae. The record is from RNAcentral.
CUGCUCCCUUUGGCAAUAUAUAGACUAAAAUUGAAACAAAACUGAAAAGAUUAUCAUGGUUCCCAAGCAAGAAUGUUUCACAAAUUUAUGAAGGAGUCCUUAUUUCU